Molecule: ribosomal RNA, 377 nt
Filed under: uncultured eukaryote
Lineage: Eukaryota
Description: partial 18S ribosomal RNA
Rfam family: Eukaryotic small subunit ribosomal RNA
Source: RNAcentral
CAAUAGCGUAUAUUUAAGUUGCUGCAGUUAAAAAGCUCGUAGUUGGAUUUCGGGUGGGAAUGGCCGGUCCGCCGUUUCGGUGUGCACUUGCUACGCCCACCUUGCUGCCGGGGACGUGCUCUUGAGUUCACGCUCGGGACACGGAGUCGGCGAGGUUACUUUGAGUAAAUUAGAGUGUUCAAAGCAGGCCUACGCUCUGAAUACAUUAGCAUGGAAUAACACGAUAGGACUCUGGCCUAUCUUGUUGGUCUGUAGGACCGGAGUAAUGAUUAAGAGGGACAGUCGGGGGCAUUCGUAUUUUAUUGUCAGAGGUGAAAUUCUUGGAUUUAUGAAAGACGAACUACUGCGAAAGCAUUUGCCAAGGAUGUUUUCAUUAA